This is a long non-coding RNA of Gallus gallus (chicken), 3736 nucleotides long. The record is from Ensembl. NCBI's taxonomy places the organism in Eukaryota, Metazoa, Chordata, Aves, Galliformes, Phasianidae.
CUUUAUUAUUAUUAUUAUUAUACAAAUAGCAGUACCAUUUCCAAGGACACAUUGCAUACAUGUGGAAUUUUACAUUUCUAGUUACAGAAAAACAAAAACAAACCAAACACAAAAACCCAUUAGUAUGAUUUCCCGCUCAGGUAACACUGCAGUUCUUACAGCAUUACUUUCUUCAAGGAGACCAUACGCUAUAGGGCCAGUGGCCUUUCUUUGGCAAUGGCACUGCCAUUUGCAAGCUCAGGAAAAAGGCAGCAUAACACAGAGGGCCUUGAAAAGAAAGCAACUGUUUUUGCUGGGUGUGUGUAUGUGUCUGUGUGUUUUCUCUGUUAUGGUUUGUUGUGCAACAGCAGUAAUCUCUAUUGCUUUGUAGCAUAUUCACAAUAAAUGGCUUUUUAGAUUGAUUACAUGCCUCAACUUUGCUUUGGCUAUUAAUCAAUCUCAGCAGCUGUUUAUUGCUUUGUAUGUUACAAAGCAAUAAAGAUUAUCCCUUAAAGAGCUGUUAAUGCCACAUGGAAAAGUUUGAAAACCAUUAUUUUUAGAAAUAGUACUGCUGAUAUAUAAUUUUCUGGCUUUUCUUUCUUCCUUCCGUGUUAUUUUAAGAAAGCUCAUUGCUUGUGAAACACACAGCCAUGUGUCUAACCAUCUUUGUUGCUUUAUUUGGAUUCUUUUAUAUUGCUUGCCUGUCCUUCCUAAAUUGCUGAACAUAGUGCUCCAUUGCUGACAAUGGUUUGUGUAAUGGUCCAGAUUUGCUCUGAGUCAGCAGUGGAUUCUACAUACAGAGGUGGCAUCCUCAGGACAUCCUAGCAUCCCACUCUUCCUCAAUGAUAGUUUUAGCACUUGUCUGCACUAGGAAAAUGAACUAGGGGGAAGUCAGGCAAAAUGGAGACUUCUCAGGUGGACGCUUUUUCACCAUGAUUAGUAAAGUAAGGGAAAAGGUAUUAUUUGUUACUUUAGAACAAGGACAACUGUCUGGAGAGUGGCAUAUAUGGAAAUAACUCCACCUGUAGAAUUACACUGGCAUAAAUAAAUAAUUUUUGCAGCACAUGCAGUUUAAAUACUCAGAGAUAUUCAAGUUAUAUUUGUGCGACCAUGCAACUGUCUUAGAUGCACCCUCUUCAUACAUGUGCCAAGCCUACUUGCUUUUGCAAACCUGCUGGCAUGCUCAGUACCACCUCUAAGGAAAGCUUGGGCUGCACUGUACCUUUGCAGCUUUUCAUCACUUCUUGUAUUCUACAACCUGGCUUUGAACACACAAAGGAAGGAUCAGGUGAAGUAAUUAUUUUGCCAUCUUCCUUGUCCAUCUUUGCAUUUGCCCAGCAAACUAUAGUCUGGCCCAUCAUUCCUCACCUACUGCACACGAAAACUGCCUGGGAGAUUCAUUGUUAAUGUUAGACCACAAGCUCAGGUUCUGCAAACAUUUUUAUGGUUCUGUCAGUGCAGUUUUCAGUCAUGAUGUAAUCAAAACCAUUGCUGGUGGUGAGAAGCUGGGUCACAUUUAGUCAUUUACUGUUUUCUGAUGCAAGUAUCAACAAAGCCCCAGUGUGCAUACAAAGUUUUGUAAUAAUAGUUACAAAAGAAUUGACUAUUAUCUGCCCUUUCCUAUCACUUACUCUAAGACCACUAAUAAGCCACUUAUUGAUGCUGAGCUUGGUUCCAAUUAUAUGAAUGACGAAUACGUUUAAAUACUCAUUUAAAUGAGAUUGCAACAUGAUCAUCAAUGAUACAAAUAUAUAUUUAGAAAAUGCCUAGAAAUAAGUAGAAAGGAUUUCUCAUAUGCAAAAUACAGAAGAGGUAAAAACAAUACUUACAAAAAGAUGAAAGAAAUUUGGCAACAGAAAGCUUAUUUGAUAAAUAAAAUGGAAACAGUUUAGAGGAGGAAAUAAGUAUGAAAGAGUGGAUGGAAUCCCUCCCCUUGUAAUUUUAACUGACAUCUAUCCUAGGGAUUUUUCAAAUAAUCAGAAUGUUUUUGGAGGAUACACACAUUUUGUUAGCAGGGGCAUGCGGCCCAUUCAUCUUGUGAGUCUUUAAUUUUGUCAAAGUAGUUACAGAAUUAGAUCCUGAGGCAAAGACUCAACUAAGAAGGGCUGUUUUUAAUAGCUAUAUCAAGUGGAAUGGAUAAAUAAAGUAGGUAACAUGCCAUGAUGUGGUGAAACACGUGCAUUUAGAGAACUUACUGUAGGCAGAGGUCAUAUAGUAGAAUGUUACUUAUCUUUGAGGCAUCAUCUGUCAUCAUCUCUUUGUUUGAGAAGAUACAAAAUACAGGCAGUGCAAAAAAAAAAAAAAAAAUUGCUCUUAAAUGAUGCAAACAUUCCUGUUCAGCAAGGUUGAAUAUAAUCAGAAAAACCAGCAUUGCCAAAUGCUGUGAAACAUUAAUAGCCAGUGUUUCAUAAACAGAGCUCCAUUCUAGACUUAGUCUUUAAAUGUAGCUGAAAAAUCUCACUAAGUACGAUGGAAGUAGAGUAGGUGCAAGUUGCUAAAAGCAACACAGCAACAUGAUCUGAUUUACUUCAAUUUUAACAACAUAAAUACUUUAAAAGUCCCUUAUUUUGAAAGCUAAGGUUAUGCUUCUUAUGGUAAGCACUGGCCACGGAUAAUGAGCUUUCAUUCACAGCUGCAAAGUAGCCUGGUAGGAGGGACGUUCCUAGCAAUCUGAUGAGACUGUUGACAAAGAUCAGCACAGAUAUAUUUUCUUUUGCUGUACCCAAGGUGCUUAUAAGUUUCUGUUUUGUUACUGCAAAAAUCAAGCAGCCCCCUGGCAUCAGACCGAAGCUUGUUUGCUCUAUACCACUGGUUUAAAAGUGAUCGAGUCCUUCACGCAUUAAAAGGAUUUGGCACAGAUUCAAGCAAUGAAAACUUGUCCAAGAUGUUUAAUCUCUCCAGGUACAAGAGGUCAGUCAGUAACAAGAGUCUCAUUAAGUGUACUCCAGAGUCAUAGUAGAAAAAUGACCUUUCCAGUUUGGCAGAUGUUUAAAUGUAAUAGACAGACAGGAAAUAAGAUAAUCAUACCCUCAAGAGUCUUGCAACUGCUGACACUUUCAUUCCGAAGCUGGAGUAAUUUUGAAAGGUAGGCAUAUUUGGCAAGAUAGACUUCGAGAAGCAGAUGAAACUAAAGAUACAAGAAACAGCAUUGCUGGGUGGGAGUGGUUUUAAGAAAUCCUUUAUUUCUUCUAGCUGCCUUCUUUUUCACAUCACUUUUCAGCUAUUGACUUACUACUCUUGGAGCGGGCCCAGAGGAGGGCCACUAAGAUGAUCAGAGGGCUGGAGCACCUCUCCUAUGAGGAAAUUUUUUCCACACAAAGAGCGGUGACACACUGGAACAGGUUGCCCAAGGAGGUUGUGGAUGCCCCAUUCCUGGAGACAUUCAAGGCCAGGCUGGAUGUGGCUCUGGGCAGCCUGGUCUGGUGGUUGGCGACCCUGCACAUAGCAGGGGGUUGAAACUGGAUGAUCUUUGUGGUCCUUUUCAACCCAGGCCAUUCUGUGAUGAUACUCCUGAAGCCAGCAUAAAGAAAAAAACAAAGAGUUUUAUUCAGUAAGCUCCCAAAUACUUCCUAAAAGCCUCCUGUUGUGAUACAAGCAGAACAACAGAAUAUUAAUGAAUGUGGGAGCAAGUAAGGAUCUCUUUUUGUACAGCUACAACUCUACUACUACAAAGAUGUGACAGAAGAUCAGUUACUGCCAAGCUAAAACCAGCCUGGUGUGUUUUAUACUAUUGUGUGGUACCGACCAAUAAUCCUCC